GCAUGAUACAAAUAAUCCAAGUGGAUAUGCUUAAAAGAGGUCAGAGGAAGCAGGAAAGAGUCCAAGAUUCUCUAAUUAUCCAAAAUUUAUUAUACAAAAUUUAUAAAGAGAGCAGAUGGGAAAGGUAGAGACCCUAUUCAGAAAAAAUAAGCUCAUCAAAGAUUGUUGGCAUAAUGGCAAAACCCCAGUUCACUGCAAGUUUUGCUAUCUCUUACACUCAAGGACUUUUGUACCAAUUAGAGCAGAAACGGUUCUGUCUCAGUUUUUCUGAGAUGUUGACUUGUCAUUGAACUCUCAGCCUCAGUUGACACCUCAUCCUUGACUGGAAACCUCUCUUAUACUUCAUUUAGCACAGGGGGUGGGAAGCCACAGCUCAUAGACCCAAACAUGGUCUAAGGGUUAAGAAUGCUAUUUAUAUUCUUAAAUGGUUCAAAAAAUUAAGAGGAAAAUAACAUUUUGUGACAAGAAAAUUACAUGAGACUAACACUUCAAUGUCUAUACACAAAGUUAUAUUUGCACAUAGCCAUGGCUGUUCAUUACACAUUAUGUAUGGCUGUUUUCACACUAUGAUGGCAAAGUUACAUAGCUCAACAUAGCCUGCGUGGCUCACAGAGACUCAGGUAGUCAUUAUCUGGCCCUUUACAGAGACAGCUUACCAACCUCAGAUCUAGCACUAUACGCCAUCUUGGUUUUGGAAUUCAUAAAUAAAAUCCUAAAAUUUGAGAGUAGAAAGAGGAUUUAGAAAGUCCCUGUUGACAUCUCUGAUUCAUAUCUAGCUAAGGACAGCAGACUUAUUUUUUGUG
Molecule: long non-coding RNA, 803 nt
Filed under: Marmota monax (woodchuck)
Lineage: Eukaryota; Metazoa; Chordata; Mammalia; Rodentia; Sciuridae
Source: RNAcentral